RNAcentral lists this ribosomal RNA (652 nucleotides) under Halorubrum distributum JCM 9100. RNAcentral describes it as "bacterial LSU rRNA". It matches the Rfam family "Archaeal large subunit ribosomal RNA", at positions 2267 to 2973 of the family's 2987-position model. The record is from RNAcentral. Lineage: Archaea; Methanobacteriati; Methanobacteriota; Halobacteria; Halobacteriales; Haloferacaceae.
CAUUGAAAUACUACCCGUCGGUGACUGCGACUCUCACUCCGGGAGGAGUACACCGGUAGCCGGGCAGUUUGACUGGGGCGGUACGCGCUCGAAAAGAUAUCGAGCGCGCCCGAAGAUCAUCUCAGCCGGGUCGGGAAUCCGGCGAAGAGCGCAAGAGCACAAGAUGGUCUGACAGUGUUCUUCCCAACGAGGAACGCUGACGCGAAAGCGUGGUCUAGCGAACCUACGAGGUUCCGGAAUGGGACCCGUAGAUGACAGAAAAGCUACCUUAGGGAUAACAGAGUCGUCACUCGCAAGAGCACAUAUCGACCGAGUGGCUUGCUACCUCGAUGUCGGUUCCCUCCAUCCUGCCCGUGCAGAAGCGGGCAAGGGUGAGGUUGUUCGCCUAUUAAAGGAGGUCGUGAGCUGGGUUUAGACCGUCGUGAGACAGGUCGGCUGCUAUCUAUUGGGGGNNNGCCACUGGUGUAUCGGUUGUCCGAGAGGGCAGAUGCCGAGUAGCCACGCGACACGGGGUAAGAGCUGAACGCAUCUAAGCUCGAAACCCACAUGGAAAAGAGGUACCACAGAGGUCACUCGUAGAAGACGAGUUCGAUAGACUCGGGGUGUACGCACCAAGGCAACGAGGUGUUAAGCCCACGAGCACUAACAGACC